UAAAAACCCACCCUGGUGACCCGAAAUGAGCUUUUAAAAUUCCUGUCUACCUAACUUGAACUACCUAACAAAACAUUGUGGUGGACUCCCUUGACUCCUGUUUCCUUCUGGGAUGAGGAAAGCCUUACAGGAGAAAAAUCUUGAGGUAAAGGCUCUUUCCUAUCCAAGCGCAUCUGUGUCUGCGUGGUGGUGAGAGGGGAAUGCAUUUCCAUUAGGAGGCCCAGCCACAGCUGCACUAAAAGUGGUAACAGACUAAACAUACAAAGGCAGAGCGCCUCCUCCCCAUCCAUCAGCCUUGAUUUUUAUGAAGCCACAGUUACCAUGAGGUGCAUCUAAGCACUCAGCACCUUCUCACCAGGAGAAAGGCUCUGUGAUUUCAUGGCCCAUUUCUACCUUGAUGGUAGUGGAUGACCUUGGAGACAGGCUGAGCUUUUCAGUAGAGGCUCCUGAAGUAUCGAGUGACUCAGAACCUAAAUGCUCCUCCCAUGCCUGGGCGCACGGACAUGCACCUGCUGCAUGUCUAUGUAAUUCUUACAGGAAUUCCUAUUUUCUGAUUGCUUCCCACAGCUUCCUCAGUCCCGUUGAUGCUGUGGUAGCUGCCCACACAUUUGUACGUGUUGUCUGUGUACUUAUGAGCUGAGUCCAGCGUUCAUUCUUUCUGGAUGUGUGUUUCCAGCUCCUCCACUCAAGGACAUGAUUUUCUAAGAAUUCGUCAGUUUGACAAACAAUAGCUCUCAGCCUGCGAGGAAAAUGAGCAAAGUUAACAGCAGAUGAAACCUACAAAUGUGUACUGAGUACUAUAAACCAGGUUGCAGGCUAGGAACAUUUAUUUGUAAGACCCAGUAGUUGCUUCUUAAAAUGAAUCUUAAGAUGGGGUGGAGAGAAGAAGCCACUGACACAGGAAAGCGAACAGCAAGAACAGGGCUAAGUCACAGUUCCAGACAAUGAAGGGAAAUCAGGGCUGGCCAGACGGAGGCUUCCCAGGUUGCACGAGUAGCCAUAGUUACAGAGAAGCCCAAGGUGAAGGUCCGAGUCUCAGCCAGACAUCGGUAGCUAACAGUGAGAGUGGUAGCAUCAAUCCACUGCAGCUCCAGUCCAGGAGGAGGAAAAGCACGGUGGCCAGUGGCACCUCCAAGUGUGUCACGUAGCUGGUUUGUUUUCUUAAUUUACUCUAUGAAAUGGCUUUCUCUAAUGGCAUGCCAUUGACGAAAUGCACCCUAAUGUCCCCAUCCAUCACCUCCAAAUGCUUUUGCAUGCAUCAGUUCUUGACUUGUUUUCUCUCGUUCAGCACAUAAAUGAGAGGAAUGAUUUAUCCAAGGCCACCCGUUAUUUUUAUAUGGAAUCUGAAAUAGCUCUCUGGAGAAAUACCGCCCUGAGCACUCUGUGCUGCUCUGAGCUCAUGCUACAGGGUGUCUUUGGCCAGGGAUUGCUUUGGUACCUUCCUGAUGACUGUUUGCAGGGGACACUGGUCCAGAUGUCCAUCCACGUUACCUGUGACUCCUGGACACAAGAGCUGACACUUGGUAAGUAUGAUCAUGAGCGGUGUAUUACGGAGUGUGAAAGUCAGCACAUCUGCCUUUGUUGUGAGUGAAAAUUGAUUGAGCUGUCAGAUGCCUCCUCACCCCUACCCCCGAAAUGCUUUCCUGAAAUCACACUCAUCACAUAUACAAGGGCGUGUAUUUAUUUUCUUCACUUUACCAACCUGCUUUCUUGACCUAUGUCUCCCCAUGGCGGGGAUAUCUAGCUCCUUGUCCCUCAGGAUUUUGCAUAGAUCAAUAAAGGGUCUUUAAGGGAGCAGAGUAUGGUACCUCUGUGUAGGACCUAGUACGGUUUCAAGGAGGAAACAGUCUAUAUAGUUUUUGUCUCAUCAGAUGAAGAUGAGAGUGGACAUAAAAGGGUCAAAGCAUCAAAUGACAGACCUGCACCAUUAAACACACCAUUCCUGGCUGUAGCAUUAAUUUAGUGGAACACUCUUUAAAGUGCCAUAUUUUCACCUUCUUGGUUCUUGUCUCAAAAAAUGUGUAAACUGUGACUUGGACAGUUACACUCAACUGAAAAUAUCUGUUGACAUUGGCUGUGCAGGGACACCAAAAAUAAGUAUGCAUCACACAUGACUUUGCAUUAAAGUAUUCUUGGUAGAUAUACAUACCUUAAUAAUGUGAUGUCUAAUAGAUAACACAUUCACCCUUUAAUAGAAGUGAAAUAAAGUGUGCAGAGGGUAAGAACUCUCCUAGUUUUCUAAAGGGCUGAAUGACCAGAGUUAAAACUACCAGGUCACUAGUCCCAGUGUGAGUCAUACACACACUUCAUCUUUUCUAAGAUGUAAAAACUAUGGUAGAUUGGCAGAGUGUUCUUCUCUUGACAUUGGUUCUUGUUAUUUAAUAAAUCAUCUUCACAAAGAAGGUGGUGUUGAUGAGAAUAGCAUAUAGAAAUAUCAACAAUAAGAAAAUUCAUGUUUUUAUUGAAAUUGUGAAUUGACAAAUUUAUCUUCUAUGAUGUCAGCACAUCCUUGAACAAAGAGAUAGGUGAGCAGUCUGAUUAUCUCAUUAAUAUGGACUCUAUUGGCUCUAUGGGAGACAAGGAGGAUUGGACCCCUCCCCACAAUAUCUGCAAUGAGCUUUUCUACACAAGGGCACUGGCUGCUCUGUGAGGAUAGUCCUCUAAUGGAAAGCUUUUCCUCAACAAAUCAUAUCUCCAGUGAAGUGACAACGUGCAGGUGAUUCUAGCUGUCUGUGGAUUCAGCGGUAUCCUAUUUAUUGACAUGAAUAUUUAUACCCAUGUCAGUUGGUUGUAUUGCUUGGCUGGGAUGCUGAGAACAUCAGCUACUGUUUUUUUUUAAAGCUCAGCAUUCUCAGGGCUAUUUAAAGAACCCCUCCAUCAUCACCACUUUGGACCACCACUUUGAAUGCUAAAAGCAAUUCAACAGAAACACUCUCCAUAUCUCCCUCAAUAAUUAUUGCUAACCUAGAGGCAAUUCUGCAGGGAAAUGUGUAUUAAUAUUAUAUGGUUUCCUUUCAACAAAGCUUUGUAAAAUUAUAAUCAUUCUUCAGUUGAACUCAUGUGCUAUUCCUUUAGCUUAGUAGAAAGUGUUUCUACUAUUCACAUUCAUUCAAAGGGAUGAUGUUUUGAUUAUCAUCCUAAGGAUGAGGUUUAGAGUGGAGGUGUCACACCAAUAUGUACUUUUAGAGGCUCUGUUGAGGUCAAUGAUGCAAAUCUACCCCUAGAGCCUUGCUACCGAUAAAUGGUAUUUAUCAUGUGGCAGGAACUUAGUGGAAGGUUUAGUCCAGAGUUAGACCAAAGAGAAAGUCCACCCAGAUCUUUAUCCAGUAACCUGAACUAACCAUGGUGGGCCAACUGGCCCCAGGACAAAUGAGUUGGUUUUAUACCAAGACACCAGUACAAAACUCAACAGAGCCAUUAUUCAUUCCCAACCUGCCCUCCAAGUAUUCUCUGGUGACUUUUGCAGACUAUGACAUAUAUGACAGGGAAAACUCAUAAAUUAGUUGAAGAAGAUUUGAUGACAGAUCUGUUUUGCUGGGGAAAGAAUAUGUAGUGAUUGAUUCAGGAACACGGUUGAUGGUGAGUGUAGAUAAAAUCUGGCAAAAGCUAAAUAUCAAAAGUGGAAGUUUUAUCUCUAUAAAUUCCACUGAGUGCUAUGUUAGAGCAAGUUAAUGAGAGCACUCUCUGUUUUCCAACCAUUUCAAAAUCUUUGACUGAUACUGAUGUGUGUGUGUGUGUGUGUGUGUGUGUGUGUGUGUUUAUAUGUAUAUUUUGCAGAAGUAUUCUGUCUGUUCAAAAGCAAAAUCUUAAUGGCUAAAGAUUGUGGCUUUAGUUGUUAUCCAGAAAGUGUACUAUUUAGCUGGAGGGUCAACCAAUUUAUGUAUUUAUUUAGAUUCUAUACGGGGUCUUAAAUGGAAAUGGAACAUCUUUACCCUUUCUUCAUUCUCCAUUUACACAUGAAAAAAAUGAUAUCAUAAUUCUAAAGACGAAUGCAAAAUUACCUUUAUAAAGACAGGCAGCACUCAUGACUGAUUUCAUUCUGCUCUGGGCAAUGCCUGCCAACAUUGCAAAGGUAGAGAUCUGACAACAAACCAGCUUUAAAAAAUGCAAGAAAUGGUUCCUAGUUCCUCUGGAAGGAGACUAAAUCUGGAAGGAAGGAAAAUCAUAGAAUUAUUUUUUUACCUGUGUAAUUAAGCAGUUCUUAAACCAAUAAAUUAAGGUAGAUGGUUUGUGUGAGACACAGGGAAAACAAAGACACUACACGAAAAACUCACAACAGAGUUAAUGAGAAAAUGUCAUUCUAUAUGUCCUAGACUUGAAUUUAAUUUACAAGAUGAUUGUGCCCUCAUAAAAUUGGUUUUUUGUUUUGUGUUUUUUGGUUUUUUUUGUUUUUUGUUUUUGUUUUUUUUUUUUGUUUUUAAAAUGUUUCCAAACCCUACCAAGGGCAAAGAGAAUACUCCCUACCUUGUCACAUUAUGUUGUAAUAUAAGGGUUAAUGUUUAAUAAAACUUAUAGAUGAUAUGGC
This 4525-nucleotide long non-coding RNA is filed under the name Mus musculus (house mouse). Its description in RNAcentral is "long non-coding RNA chr2:106872279-106876804". Lineage: Eukaryota; Metazoa; Chordata; Mammalia; Rodentia; Muridae. The record is from RNAcentral.